GACGUAGGGCGCGAGCGUUGUCCGGAUUUAUUGGGCGUAAAGAGCUCGUAGGCGGCUUGUCGCGUCGACUGUGAAAACUCGGGGCUCAACUCCGAGCUUGCAGUCGAUACGGGCAGGCUAGAGUUCGGUAGGGGAGACUGGAAUUCCUGGUGUAGCGGUGAAAUGCGCAGAUAUCAGGAGGAACACCGGUGGCGAAGGCAGCUCGCUGGGACGGUACUGACGCUGAGGUGCGAAAGCGUGGGGAGCAAACAGG
This 253-nucleotide ribosomal RNA is filed under the name uncultured bacterium. RNAcentral's name for it is "partial 16S ribosomal RNA". It matches the Rfam family "Bacterial small subunit ribosomal RNA", at positions 524 to 776 of the family's 1533-position model. The record is from RNAcentral.